This 407-nucleotide ribosomal RNA is filed under the name Limnonectes kuhlii (Kuhl's wart frog). Its description in RNAcentral is "partial 12S ribosomal RNA". It matches the Rfam family "Bacterial small subunit ribosomal RNA", at positions 794 to 1414 of the family's 1533-position model. The record is from RNAcentral. Lineage: Eukaryota; Metazoa; Chordata; Amphibia; Anura; Dicroglossidae.
GCCCCACCGUAAAAUAUAUAUUUACACUAACAAACGCCAGGGUAUUACGAGCUUCAGCUUAAAACCCAAAGGACUUGACGGUGUCCCAUCCAACUAGAGGAGCCUGUUCUAUAAUCGAUAACCCCCGAUACACCUAACCCCCCCUUGCCAAUCAGCCUGUAUACCUCCGUCGCAAACUUACCAUAUGAAUGCCAAUAGUAGGUUAAAUGGUUACAUCACCAACACGUCAGGUCAAGGUGCAGCUCAUGAUGGGGAAAGCAAUGGGCUACAAUUUCUAAAAUAGAAUACACGGAAUGCUGCAUGAAACACAGCCGCGAAGGCGGAUUUAGUAGUAAAAAGAAAAUAAAGUGUCCUUUUUAAUAAGGCCCUGGGACGUGUACACACCGCCCGUCACCCUCUGCAGUCAA